GACGGAGGGUGCAAGCGUUGUUCGGAAUUACUGGGCGUAAAGGGCGCGUAGGCGGCCCGCUAAGUUCGAUGAGAAAUCCCCCGGCUCACCCGGGGAACUUCAUCGGAAACUGGUGGGCUCGAGUACCGGAGAGGAGGGUGGAAUUCCUGGUGUAGCGGUGAAAUGCGUAGAUAUCAGGAGGAACACCGGUGGCGAAGGCGGCCCUCUGGACGAGUACUGACGCUGAGGCGCGAAAGCGUGGGGAUCAAACAGG
RNAcentral lists this ribosomal RNA (253 nucleotides) under uncultured bacterium. RNAcentral describes it as "partial 16S ribosomal RNA". It matches the Rfam family "Bacterial small subunit ribosomal RNA", at positions 524 to 776 of the family's 1533-position model. The record is from RNAcentral.